GACGAACGCUGGCGGCGUGCUUAACACAUGCAAGUCGAACGGAAAGGCCCUGCUUGCAGGGUACUCGAGUGGCGAACGGGUGAGUAACACGUGGGUGAUCUGCCCUGCACUUCGGGAUAAGCUUGGGAAACUGGGUCUAAUACCGGAUAGGAGCCAUCUUUAGUGUGGUGGUUGGAAAGUUUUUUCGGUGUAGGAUGAGCUCGCGGCCUAUCAGCUUGUUGGUGGGGUAAUGGCCUACCAAGGCGGCGACGGGUAGCCGGCCUGAGAGGGUGUACGGCCACAUUGCGACUGAGAUACGGCCCAGACUCCUACGGGAGGCAGCAGUGGGGAAUAUUGCACAAUGGGCGAAAGCCUGAUGCAGCGACGCCGCGUGGGGGAUGAAGGACUUCGGGUUGUAGACUCCUUUCGCUAGGGACGAAGCUUUGUUGUGACGGUACCUAGAUAAGAAGCACCGGCUAACUACGUG
This 466-nucleotide ribosomal RNA is filed under the name uncultured bacterium. Its description in RNAcentral is "partial 16S ribosomal RNA". It matches the Rfam family "Bacterial small subunit ribosomal RNA", at positions 28 to 507 of the family's 1533-position model. The record is from RNAcentral.